GUUGCAAUUGCUUUCGAGGGACUUUAUCUCAUUUUUUCAUGCCAAAAUUCGGUACUUAGCCCAAAAAACAGAUCUCUUGUCCUUUGCGCGGAAAUAUUUAACACACAAAAAAGGCGGGGGCCCAACAAAAAUUUUUCAGGGGCCCCCAGCAACUCGGGGACCGGGGCAAUUUGCCCCCCCCUGCCCCUCCCUCUCUGCGGCCCUGCUGCUAACAAAGCGAUAUAACUACCCGCAAAAAAAACACGCUACAAUACAGACAAAUACCAAUAUGAAUAAAAGAAUCACGCCCAAGUCCAAGUUUGAUGCCUGAAGCUGUUCAUUUUCAAUUGGAU
Paramuricea clavata is the source of this 332-nucleotide non-coding RNA. Lineage: Eukaryota; Metazoa; Cnidaria; Anthozoa; Malacalcyonacea; Plexauridae. The record is from the annotation of a GenBank genome assembly.